RNAcentral lists this ribosomal RNA (520 nucleotides) under uncultured Entrophospora. RNAcentral describes it as "SSU rRNA". It matches the Rfam family "Eukaryotic small subunit ribosomal RNA", at positions 569 to 1082 of the family's 1831-position model. Lineage: Eukaryota; Fungi; Glomeromycota; Glomeromycetes; Entrophosporales; Entrophosporaceae. The record is from RNAcentral.
AGCAGCCGCGGUAAUUCCAGCUCCAAUAGCGUAUAUUAAAGUUGUUGCAGUUAAAAAGCUCGUAGUUGAAUUUCGGGAUUGGCGCAUCGGUCGUGCCUUACGGGGUAUGAACUGGUGCAGUCAAUUUCUCACCUUCUGGAGAACCGCGAUGUCCUUAAUUGGGUGCCGCGGGGAACCAGGACCUUUACUUUGAAAAAAUUAGAGUGUUUAAAGCAGGCAUUUUUGCUUGAAUACAUUAGCAUGGAAUAAUAAAAUAGGACGGCAUGGUUCUAUUUUGUUGGUUUCUAGGACCACCGUAAUGAUUAAUAGGGAUAGUUGGGGGCAUUAGUAUUCAAUUGUCAGAGGUGAAAUUCUUGGAUUUAUUGAAGACUAACUACUGCGAAAGCAUUUGUCAAGGAUGUUUUCAUUAAUCAAGAACGAAAGUUAGGGAUCGAAGACGAUCAGAUACCGUCGUAGUCUUAACCAUAAACUAUGCCGACUAGGGAUCGGAUGAUGUUAAUUUUUUAAUGUACUUCAUUCG